RNAcentral lists this transfer RNA (98 nucleotides) under Deltaproteobacteria bacterium. RNAcentral describes it as "tRNA-Sec". It matches the Rfam family "Selenocysteine transfer RNA". Lineage: Bacteria; Pseudomonadati; Myxococcota; Myxococcia. The record is from RNAcentral.
GGAAGUGGUUGUCAAUCUGGUGUUGGCCCCGGACUUCAAAUCCGGUGUAGCGGGUUAAUAGCCCGCUAGGUGGGUUCGAUUCCCAUGCACUUCCGCCA